CGGCUUGGUCCUCCUCUAUAUACGACUUAUGAGCCACAUCCAAAGAUACAUCAAAACAAGCUAUGGUUUUGCCUCAUCUCGCAACUUGCAUUGCCACUGUAGUCUACCUCAUCCCGAACGCCUUCGCCCUUGUGAUCCUGCACCAGAAGAGCAUGUCUUAUAGGUAGGAAAGCAUGUCUCUCGAAGCCUCCGCCCUUGUGAUCAGCAUCCGAGACGACGAAUUAGGUUUUUAGAAAGCGUUCCAUACGACUAUUCAAGUUCGUCACCAUGAGCCGUCUUCCAUCCAAGUCGAGCGGCAUUGUGUACCAGCGUCUCCAAUGUAAUUUCGACGAGUCUUCACCAACAUCGUCGUCAACAACAUUGUUCCUCCAAUAAUUAUGGCUACAAACGAACAAUACACGUGUUAGUUAUGGUUGUUGUUACAUGUGCGAUGGUGGAGUACAUGUUAUUCUAUUCAUGUAGUAUGCUGGAUUGUUGCAUGCUAGUAAUAGUUUUAAUCAUGACUUAUGUUCUGAAAUAGAUCACGAAAUUGCCUAAUUCUUGAAUAUAAUUUG
This 554-nucleotide long non-coding RNA is filed under the name Hordeum vulgare. Its description in RNAcentral is "long non-coding RNA (HVUL_LNC018771)". The record is from RNAcentral. Lineage: Eukaryota; Viridiplantae; Streptophyta; Magnoliopsida; Poales; Poaceae.